RNAcentral lists this ribosomal RNA (435 nucleotides) under Parablennius ruber (Portugese blenny). RNAcentral's name for it is "partial 12S ribosomal RNA". It matches the Rfam family "Bacterial small subunit ribosomal RNA", at positions 770 to 1406 of the family's 1533-position model. Lineage: Eukaryota; Metazoa; Chordata; Actinopteri; Blenniiformes; Blenniidae. The record is from RNAcentral.
AACUGGGAUUAGAUACCCCACUAUGCUUAGCCUUAAACUUAGAUAACUAUAUCACAUAUAUUAUCCGCCCGGGAACUACGAGCAUUAGCUUAAAACCCAAAGGACUUGGCGGUGCUUAACAACCCCCUAGAGGAGCCUGUUCUAGAACCGAUAAUCCUCGUUAAACCUCACCCCUUCUGGCCCAUCCCGCCUAUAUACCGCCGUCGUCAGCUUACCCUGUGAAGGACUUACAGUAAGCCCAAUUAGUCAAAACCCAAAACGUCAGGUCAAGGUGUAGCUUAUGAAGGGGAAAGUAAUGGGCUACAUUUCCUGUUGCAGGAAACACGAAAAGUGUUCUGAAAAUAACACUAGAAGGAGGAUUUAGAAGUAAGCAGGGAUCAGAGUGCCCCGCUGAAACUGGCCCUUGAGCGCGCACACACCGCCCGUCACUCUCCC